This 93-nucleotide microRNA precursor is filed under the name Pelobates cultripes (western spadefoot toad). The record is from RNAcentral. Lineage: Eukaryota; Metazoa; Chordata; Amphibia; Anura; Pelobatidae.
CUCCAGAUGUUGCUGAAAUACAACUCCCAUGAUUCCCUGGCUAUCUGUUUCAUUGAAAGAAUCAUGGGAGUUGUAGUUCAGCAACAUCUGGGG